Long non-coding RNA from Triticum aestivum (bread wheat), 3521 nucleotides. RefSeq lists it as uncharacterized. The transcript has 5 exons. NCBI's taxonomy places the organism in Eukaryota, Viridiplantae, Streptophyta, Magnoliopsida, Poales, Poaceae. The record is from RefSeq and is a predicted model, not a curated record.
UAGCCGGUCCCAAGCCCGGAUAAAAAGAGGAGGGCCCACCAUGACCAUUUAUAUUGUUGUAAUGUUUAUUGUGUGUUUUUGUUUUAAAACAUAAAAGCAAAUAAUUAGUAAAAGACAAUAUCUUUAGGAAAUGCAAAACAUUUCCCCUUGUUUAUAGCUGGAUUGCAUUGAUACUAACAAUUGUAUUGCCAACCCCUUUUGUGUCUUGUGAGCUACUUCUAUACAUUUUUCUAUCUAUGUCUGAUAAGUGAAAUGCUAGAUCUCCUACUUUUUGAAAUUAAAACUUUUAAAUUCAUAUAGUUGUAGCUUUAUCUCUUUCUCCUGCUCUACACUAGUAAGUGUUGAGAUAAAGCUCGUACUCUUUGCUGAUACAUUGUGAUUUUUUCUUGCUUCUUUGGACUAAUUCGGUCCUUGUUUUAUGUUCUGCUUUUUGCUUUGCUCUCAAUUCAAGAAUCAUUACUAGCCUGAAUACUGGCUUGCUCAUGAGAAACCGUUCUUUUUUCCUUCUGAAAGGAGCUUAUGACAUGCUGCUAGAAAAAUUCUUUGUACCAUAUUUUGGACUCAAAAGUAAUAUAAAUAAAUGGACCAGUAUUUUUUCGUUGCCAUAUUGUACUAUGCGAUGCAAGUAAAUUGUGUGGCACUCUAUCUCCAACAGUAGCACCACCUAAAAUGCACCCCUGUUGCCCUGCCUUUUGGAGCAGACGAAGCUUUGUCAUGGUCUGCUCAUCGCAGAGGAUACAGGUGAACAUAUGGUUUGGUAAUUGGUACUUUAAGAUUUUAGGAGUCUAUAUAGUUUGGUAAUUGGUACUUCAGAAGUCUACUAGCUUUUGUCUGAUUGACAGAGAUGGUUUGGUAGCAACUAACUGAACAAUCAACUGCAGCUUUGUUUUUGGUAGAAACACUGCUGCUUGGUGGUCUCAUAUUGCAUCAUGUGCCAAUUCUGUGAUGUGUAAAGCAAUGUUUUGAAUCUGUGUCUAACUGAAUCCUUGUGUAUUUUCCCUUUGUCUCACUAAUUUCAGAUGGUUUACAGGAUCUGGCCCAGGAGACAAAAAGCUUGUUUCUGGAGUAGUGGAAUUCCUGGGUAGCUAUCUUGUUGAGCUGAGUCUUCUGGACUAGAGCUGUCUCCUGUCCUUGCUAUCAGUGAUUUCUGCUUCAUCAGUUUUUUCUUGCUAGGCUGACCAUUGGAUCAGACACUAAUCCUCGGAGCAAGGAAAUUCAGAACUUGACAGGCUACAGGGCAUCAGAGCUGAAGGACUGCAUUAUAGCCAUACAUGAUUUGCAGCUAAAUAUAAAGGGUUCAUCAUUACCAGCAAUUCAAGACAAAAGUAUAAGCAACGCAUGGUAUGCGCAACUCCAACAGUUAUGUGAUAUUCCUCUGAUAUUGUUUUGCUGGUAGUGUUAGUCUAAUUCUCUAAUCAUUUGGAGCUUUUCAAAUUUAUUUAGGUGCUAGUCUAUCACAAGUAAGAGGCCAUGCAUCCUCUUUGUAGAAUCGUACUUCUGUAUUACUAUCUUAGAACAUUGUGCCUUGUUGGUCUGUUUAGCCACAUAUCUGUAGUGGUUGAUAUAUGCUGAUCCAUUGCCUUUACUGAUUAUUUUUCUUUUGAUCUGUUACCUGUGAGUGCGCUUACAGUACCUACGACCUACCUUUCUACCAAUGGGUUGUACUCCCUCCGUAAAGAAAUAUAAGAGCAUUUAAAUCACUAAAGUAGUGAUCUAAACGCUCUUAUAUUUGUUUACAGAGGGAGUACUAGACAUAGGCCUAAAUAACAUAGCUUGCAUGAAUAAUCAUCAUGGUCUCUUUUUGACUAUUAUCAUCUCGAUAGCCUGCUAGUGUAACAUUCUUUGUUGAAUCAAAAUCCUAGAGAUCUGAGUCAUUUCCAAUGUAUGAUCAACCCAUUUGCUGCCUGUAAGUUUUUCACCUCUAAAUGACUGGUUACAAGUUUGAUGGCACACUAAACUUCUAUUGGGAUAUUCAAAAAAAGUUGCCGAGCAAUAUGAUGGCAGAUGGGCGGUCCUGGUUUUCUUCAGUCUGCUGUGCAAAGUUAUCUGCUUACUGUAAUUUUUAAUUGAUUACUGAUGUAUAGCUGUAUAAGACACCUUAAUGCUGAGCAUGAUUUCCAUUAGCCAUAUGCAUCUGGAUUACUAAUAUCCACAGUGAACUACUUGCAAGGCACCGUAAUUAUUUUUUUGUCUGGGGGGAACCUUGAUGCUACAUGGUUCUCAUCGGAACCUUCAUUUUUUGUUCUCUGUUAUUAUAAAUAUUGCAUCGCAUGUGUCUAUUCUUGCUAAUGAACUCGCAAGGAAAGUUCGUGCACCGGUUCAUUGCUUUUUCAACUUGAUGGACUAAAAUCAAAUGCAUGCGUCAAAUUGUUGCAUCCCACUGCAAUUACCUCGCUUCUUUGUUAUAUAAAUUACUACAUGUCUGUUAUUGCUAAUGGCAUUCUUCUGAACAGUGGCUACUAAUAUUGUGCACAAUACCGUACUUAGACCACUCCAGUUUGGAAAUAUAAGGUGUGUUCAAAAUUCCGAUGGUAAAAGAAGUGUGCUAUGGCAUCUCUACCCCUGAAGAAUAUCUAGCUUCAUUUGGUGCUCACUACAUGCAUGCACUGAAUAGUCCUUUUCAAUGUUUCCUUGGUCUUAAGUGCAAGGCAAAAUAUGCCCCUGGAUUUUUCGCGGAAUGGGUAAUUUAGGUUACCAUACUUGCUUGAUAAAUUUGUAUAAAACAUAGGUCAAGUUAGAUGACCUUACUGUUUUGUAUGAUACUUUGCGGCUUUCAGCUGGCUUCUCUGCUUAAUUUGCACAUAUUUUUUUUAACCAGAGCUUCAGUUAGCAGCAAUAUUCCCUGUGAGGAGGGUGCUGAACUCAAGAUGGCCAGGUAGCUACUGAUCGCGGACACGACCUUCAGACCCACGACCAUCAGAACAAAGUAGGAUGGAGACUUGAAUCUCAGGCUUUGGUAGGUUGAUGAUGUAUCAACUUUGAACGGCAGUACAAAAGUCCUGGUCAAGUUUGCUGUCCUUGUGAGUAAAGUGGCAUCAAGUGAUCACGACGCUGGAUGCAGUAAGAUGGCGGUGAUGAGCCGGAGAUGGCGGGAUCUGUAAAACUGUCAGGUUUCUUCAGUUAACGCCGCAAGAGUCUCAUGCAUGGUCUGGAAAAAGAAAAGAUUCAGUUAGCGUUGAGACCAUUUAAGGGGUGGCCUUGAUCUAAAAAAAAACUAUUUGAUGGACGAAUUUAGUGGAGAGAAUAGAUGGAAGACAAAUAGUGGAAAAGCAAAAGAAGAUUCCUCGGCCAAAAUGCUGAAUGGUGGACGAGUUCCAUGGCGGCUGAAUUUUUAAAAAUUCGAAAUUCAUAUUUUUACCUUUCAGUUUCUUUUUCUUUUCUUUUUUUGAAAAAACAUACACAUACAACCAGAGACAUAAUUCAUAUGUGUGUAAAUUUUCUGCAUUAAAAUGAGAGCUACAUAAAAAAUAUGUGGCUUUUCAACACACGCACUAUUCAUACUUAAAAGUCCAUGUUUUUGU